RNAcentral lists this long non-coding RNA (3903 nucleotides) under Malus domestica (apple). RNAcentral describes it as "long non-coding RNA (MDOM_LNC011837)". The record is from RNAcentral. Lineage: Eukaryota; Viridiplantae; Streptophyta; Magnoliopsida; Rosales; Rosaceae.
ACCCUACUUACAUCUAUACUACAAUUGUCAAAAAGAGGGUUUAAUUUGUGUGUCAAGUAAUUCUCACACCACAUCUCAAAACAAAUCACUCACCACACAUUUAAACGUCCAAGGGUAAAUUAGUCUUUUCACAUCAACGAUAAUUAUUUCUCGGGACGAGCUGUGACUAAUCCAAUUCGGAAAGAUCCGUUUAUCGGAUUCCGAUUCGUCAGUUCCAGCUAUCCUCAAAUAUUAUGUUUUAUAACGCAUUAAAGUUUCGUGACAAUCCAACUGUCGGAUCGUCGAUUCAAUUUUGAUCAAGUGAUGUAUCGUAAUGAAACUAAGUUCAAACAAUCAAACCACGUCUGUCACAGCCCGUUCUGGAAUUUCAUAUUCGUUGAUAUGAAAUGACGGAAUUGCCCUUAACGGUUGCUAAGGUACGUGUGACAUGUCAAUUGUUAAAUGUAUACUCUCCUUAUAUUCUUGGAAAAGUUUAAAUAGAUUAAAAUGGUAUUCAAUUUGUGUGGUUAGGGACUUAAGAAUUGGGAUUGUAAUUGUUUUGGAUGGACCACACACAUGCAGGACAAUCAUCCCAUGCUUUCUCUCUUCCUUCUCAGUUUCUCUCUCUCUCUCUUCCUCUCGAAACCGUAUGGACACAUUCCCAUGAUCAUCCAAGCACGGAUCGAAGGUUUCAAGGGCACCAUUGUACUCGUGAGGACCCUACGAACUCACCCAUACCCAUUUUAGGUAAGAAAUCUCUCGAUUUCACGUUGAAAACUCGAGGUCCGAUUUGAGUAUUGUUCACGAACUUUGUAAUGGUUGGUUUUUAGGACAAUCCAAGCUCAUGGUCAGCUUUAGGAGGUUCUUACGAAGCUCGGGGACGUUCGUUUGGAAGUUUUGGACGUCGGGAUCACAAGGUUCGAAGGUGGCCAGUUUUGGGUGAAAUUUCCCGACGUGAUUUCGAAGGAUUUGGAAGUUUUUAAAGGUAUAGCCUUCUUCCUCUUGUCAUUUGUGAAGUUUUGGUGAAAAUUUCAUGGAAAAUGGUUGAGAAUUGAGCGAGAAAAUGGCGAUUACAAGUCUGCCUAGUUUCCGGUGCCGGCGAGUUUUUCCGACGACUGCAGGUAGGGGAUGACGCGUGUGGACCCGUGCUUAUCUUGGCGUGUGGGGGUGUGUGACAAGUCCAAAAAUUAUUCUAAAAAUUCCUCGAUGUUCGUGACGGCGAGUAGGUCACUGUGGUAUAUUCAUAUACCCAAAUUGAGCAUCGUAUGAGAAGUUAUUACGUAUUGUUGGUUGUAUGCUUUAAAUAAUGUUUUUAUAGUUGUUUCACAUAUAGGUGAUACCUAUUCCGAGAACGAGCGCAUUCAAGGACGUCACGGGGGUUACGACCCUUCGACUUACCAGUGAGUGGGCAGUAUUUUCUGUAUUUACCUAUAUACUAUUGGUUUUUCCCAGAAAUUGAAUUUAAAUGAAAUGUGUUUUAAAAUGCCAUGCAUACAUUAUAUGAAUUGAUAAUUGUUGCGUAUAUAUGUUAAAUGGUGUUGUGGACGCACAUGUGAGUAUCAGGUGAGUUUUAUGUUAAUCAUGUGAAUUAUUGUGAUGUGAAUUGUGUUGAGAGCUCAUAACCUGCACCUUUGGUAUUAGUGCUUAUAUUAUUCACCCCGCACUACACGCUCACCUUGGACCCAAGUAGGUGCAUGUCGUACAGACCAUUAGAGGGUUCAGACAUGUCGUACAAACCAUGAGAGGUGGUUCCGACUUGUAAGUGAUUUUAGAUUAUUAUACAAAUGUUGAUGAGAGAAUCACUAGAGCGUAUUCUUACACCUUUCUUAUCGUACAAGCUACUUCAGGUAGUUUCGAUUUAUGUGCAGAGUAGUGCCGUACAGGUCAUUGUGGUGACUCUGGUUGGUUGGAUAUUGAGCUAUUAAAUUAACCGUACAAGACCAACUGCAGGGUCUCCGGUUGAUUCAUUAUUUCACUUGUUAUAUUGAUGCAUCCUUAUCUUGUUAUUGACGCUUAUACAGUGGCAUACUUUCUAGUUUUUGAUAAAGAUUGGUGAUUUGAGAUAUUUGAAGAAUUAUAAGCAUAUUAUGUUAUUUUCUGGGAAAGUAUACAGGUUUUACAACGAGGGGUUAGAAAUGUUAUUAUUUGAAAUAUUUUCGAAAAGCUUUGUUUUACUAACCCACUCAAUUUUGUUUUGCGCCCCUCCAGGUUCUAGUUAGUGGUGUCGGUGGCCCACGAGGAUUUCUACGGCGUACUGACAGACUACAUAAAUGUAGGACUCACCUGCGGGUGUUGUAAUUUUAGUUAUAGUCCUACUUGACUGCACCUAGUUUUAUGCUCUGGAUAUGUGUGUUUCACACUUAAACUCACUCUAACAUGUUAGUUGGUUAUUAUUGGUACUGGUCAGUUUUAUUUCCUUCGUAUUUCUCUUAUCUAUUGCCUCCGCGUCGCACUUUUGGUUAUGUCACGCCCAAGUGACGGCCAGCACACUUUGAUUCUAGGAUCGGGGUGUGUCAACGUCGUACGGAUAUCAAUUAUGAAAUCAGAACAUCUAAUUGAACUUAGAAAGACAUCUUCAGCCCACUGGCCAUGCGCUGCCCACAUGCCGCCGUAGGUGGUGGUUGGCCGCUUCGACUUGUCGGAAAAUUCAACUAUUUCUAAAAAUUACCAAAUUUCCUAGAAAUGUAGUACAAGUCAACGGGAGAAACUUUCAUACUUGGGCCAAAGCCUAGUUCGGCCAAGAAACACCUCAAAACAAUCUCGAUCCGCCGGAAACCCUUGAAAUGGCUGGUUUCGAUCUGUCACCUUCGGUGCUCCUCCGUCCCUAUAACUGUUUAGACUUUGUUCCAUGCUUCAAGGGGAGUCUAAUGGUGUAGUAAUUUGAUGAAAUCAUUUCAAAAUUGGUGGAUAUCGGGCAAAAACUGCUGCAAUCACCGGUGCGGUUUUCCCCAAAUUCAAAUGCCAAAUCUCUUGAUUUUUAGGGUGUAAUAGGAAGAAGGAAGGUCGUUGAGGGUUUUCUAGGUGUUUAAUCAGUGUAAUUCGCCAGAACUUGGCCGAAAAAGGAGUAAGAGACCCUUGUUUCCGUCGGGUCGGGUCCGGGGAGGUACACAUGUUUCCCUAUUUUUUUUCUUCUCUCCUCUCCCUCCUUUCUUCCUCCCCCGAUUGGUCUGAGUUUCUCCCUUUUCUCUCCUUCCCUUUCUAUCACAACCACACACAUGGCACUCCCAUUGCUCCAUAUUUUAUGGAGCCUUCCAACUUAAUGUCAAAAUGACUAUUUUGCCCUCAACUUCUAUCAUUAAUAACUUCUUCAUUAUAACUCUGUUCCAUGAACGGUUUCGGCCUACACAUUCAUGAGACUAAGCUCUAUUCAAAAAUAUAAAUUUUGACCUUGAAAGGUCUAUGAAUUUUAGAUAAUUAAUUUCCAAACUUCAAACUUCGUAACUAGUUCAAUUUAAAACUAAACUCAAAUAAAUUAAUAUAACUUCUCCAAAAAAUAAUAUAAAAUCUCAAUAAUACAAUACGUAAAUUAUAAUAAUUUCCGGAAACAAAACUUUAAAAGUUCUCAAUUCAAUUUUUCAUAACCAUAAAUCCAUUUAUUUUCAAUUUUCUCCACAUAUUCAUAAUUAUGAAUAUUUAAUUCAUAUAUUUAAAAUUUUAGGGUACUACAAUCCAAAGUUGAAAUUCAUUACAAACUUGAAUUAAAAGAGAUUGAAUUCAAAGGUGUGUGAAUUAUAACCCAGUAUUCACCCUAUUUAUAGCCCAAAAAAUUUCAAAUCCAACGGCUCGCUGACGUCACUUAGCUGCUAGAUUUGAAUUUAAGUUGUAGUUUAUAAAUAAUAAAUUAUGUUUGGCCUUCGGUUGGACAAGGCUAUGUUAGGCCCUAUGGCUCCUUGGCCCUCGGUUGAAGAUGGUAAGAAAUAUGGU